This 301-nucleotide ribosomal RNA is filed under the name uncultured bacterium. RNAcentral's name for it is "partial 16S ribosomal RNA". It matches the Rfam family "Bacterial small subunit ribosomal RNA", at positions 509 to 807 of the family's 1533-position model. The record is from RNAcentral.
CAGUCGCCACGGUAAUACGAAGGGGGCUAGCGUUGCUCGGAAUGACUGGGCGUAAAGGGCGCGUAGGCGGCGGCCAAAGUCAGGCGUGAAAUUCCCGGGCUCAACCUGGGGGCUGCGUUUGACACUUGGUUGCUUGAGUAGGGAAGAGGGUCGUGGAAUUCCCAGUGUAGAGGUGAAAUUCGUAGAUAUUGGGAAGAACACCGGUGGCGAAGGCGGCGACCUGGUCCUUUACUGACGCUGAGGCGCGAAAGCGUGGGGAGCAAACAGGAUUAGAUACCCCAGUAGUCCCUGUCUCUUAUAC